CAAUAGCGUAUAUUAAAGUUGUUGCAGUUAAAAAGCUCGUAGUUGGAUUUCUGGUGGGAGCGAUCGGUCUGGCGCUUAGCGCGAGUACUUGCAUCGUCUCCGGCCAUCCUUGGGGAGAGUCUGUCUGGCAUUAAGUUGUCGGGCAGAGGAUCCUCAUCGUUUACUGUGAAAAAAUUAGAGUGUUUAAAGCAGGCUUAUGCCGUUGAAUAUAUUAGCAUGGAAUAAUAAGAUAGGACUUUGGUACUAUUUUGUUGGUUUGCGCACCAAAGUAAUGAUUAAUAGGGACAGUUGGGGGUAUUCGUAUUCCGUUGUCAGAGGUGAAAUUCUUGGAUUUACGGAAGACGAACUACUGCGAAAGCAUUUACCAAGGAUGUUUUCAUUAA
This 383-nucleotide ribosomal RNA is filed under the name uncultured eukaryote. RNAcentral's name for it is "partial 18S ribosomal RNA". It matches the Rfam family "Eukaryotic small subunit ribosomal RNA", at positions 592 to 976 of the family's 1831-position model. The record is from RNAcentral.